This is a long non-coding RNA of Arabidopsis thaliana (thale cress), 443 nucleotides long. RefSeq annotates it as other RNA. The transcript has a single exon. The record is from RefSeq. NCBI's taxonomy places the organism in Eukaryota, Viridiplantae, Streptophyta, Magnoliopsida, Brassicales, Brassicaceae.
ACUAGCCUCGGAUCCGAUGACUUAUUUGUGUUUUCUUCCGUCAAAUGGUGAUUUUUUUCGUUGAUUUCAUUUUUAUUUGUGGUCUUUUUCGUAUUUUUGUUUAUUUCGUAGAUUUCGGUCUUCUGUAUCUCUUCGUUGUAUCUUUGUAUUCUAUAAACAAAAAUAGUAUAAAAUAUGUUACCAAAAACAAUCUCUCACUAGAUGCUCCAAGCGUUUGUUUUCCCUCCAUUAAUUGUUUCUUUGAUCACUUGCUCGCUUCCUUGCCUUCCACUGUUCCACAAACCAAUUUCUUGAACUAUAUUGAACUUUUUUUAGCGCCUAUGGAUUCCGUGUAGCUAAUACAUUUAGAAGAUGUAUUGGUUCAUUUCGUAUUUGAGAAACCCUAACUUCGAUUAUGGAUGUAUAUUUCUUGAUUAAUCAAUCAGUUAUGUUAGGACGUUAGG